ACACAUGAACGUAAUGCCAAUAGCGGAAAACACAAAUCGAGUCUGUAGUUCCAUUUAACUUAGUAGUGUAAAGUAAGCGAAAAGCAGUGGAGAGUGGCUUUGGAAACAUUCAGUAAAGAAGAGCCUCUUGCAACGCAAAAUAAACUGAUUGGUAGUCUUGCAGAUUCUUAGAUUCAGAGGACAGUAUUUGUAUGACGAGAAUGGCAAUUCGUAUUUGGACUGUAUCAGCAACGUUCAGCACGCGACAAAGGACACGAUCCAAAGCCCUUUGAACAUAACAGUACAACAUAAUCAACACAACAGUGCCUCCUAGUGUUCAGAGGCCAAUGAUCUAGCAUUACACUUGGAACCCAACAUGAAGACAUUGUGUUUGACCAGCCCCUGUAGCAGACACCUGUAGAGACGACCAACCCAGCCCAGACAUAUGCAGAUACUGUGGAGGACGUGAUAGACCAGGUGCACCAACAAGGUCGCAAGCUACAGCAAAUACAGUAGUGCGUGGACGAGGAGAACAGAAGUCUACAUUUGGACACAGAGCAGUGUGUAAUGCUGAUAGUGUAGUAACAGUGUAACAAUGCUUAUUAGUUGUGUUCUAAAUCUAUGGGUAUACUCUCUCAAUAUGGACAUGAACCACAGGUUUCACCGUUUUUCAUUAAGUCGUUGCCCAGUCAUCUUCUUGCCCAAACGAUACUCAACCAAAGUAACAGAGUAGGUACUGCCUCGGAGCAUACGAUAUCAGUGUACUAUUAUACUGUACCAUUCUCUCAUCAGCGAAGACUAGGUCCAACAGCCAAAUCCUCACGAGUUAGGAUCAAGGUCAUUGUGCAUAAUAAAAUCUUUGCUCUGUUGGUAUCUCUCUACAGAUAUGUGUGCUCUGCAAGGGGAGUGUUUGUGGCAGACGAGGUGAAGACAGGUUUUGGGCGUGUGGGGAGUCACUUUUGGGCGUUCCAGCUUCAGGGUGAUGACUUCUGCCCUGACAUAAUGACCAAGGUGAUGGGUAACGGGCAUCCCCUGGCAUGUAUGGUAACCAUAGUGGAGAGAGCUGGGGCCUUCACAGCCAACAAAGUGGAGUACUUUCACAGUGAGAGACUAGUAGUUGCUGUUACUACCCAUUUAAAAAAAUGUUACCUUAAUUUAACUUGGCAAGUCAGUUAAGAACAAAUUCUUAUUUACAAUGAUGACCUACCCUGGCCAAACCCUAACGACCCUGGGCCAAUUGUGCACCGCCCUAUAGAACUCCCAAUCACAGCCGGUUGUGAUACAGCCUGGAAUCUUACCAGGGUCUGUAGUGACGCCUCUAGCACUGAGAUGCAGUGUUUUAGACCGCUGCACCACUCGGGAGCCCCUAUAUAUAUUCUUAGAAAAUAAGGUGUAGUGCACUAAAAUGAAUGUUGUACAUUUGUUUACUGCACUGCAUCUGCACAACCAAUAAACCCUGAUAUGUGCAACUCAAAUUAGGAGUCUCAUCCCUAAUCAUGAUUUGUGGCUUUCCUGUGACUGCAGUUUGGCAGACACCCAGCGUCAGUGGACGUGAUUGAGGACCUGAGUGGGAACUCACAAGUUAGACACCUAUUGGACCUGCUGACGCAGCUACAGACCUAACAUCCAAUCAUUGGAGACAUCCGGCAGGAGAAUUAUGGCCGGAAUUGUGUUUAGGUAAUGACCGUUCCUUGGCCCCAGGCACUGCUGACACAUGCCAGAUCUUGCAACACCUGGAUAGGUAUUUUACAUAUCAGCCAAUCACAUUAUAGCAAUCUGGUGUUUAAAGGCAGUCGAAGACUUUGCACGCAACCAUUGGUUGAUGAUGCAUGCAACUUCUGAGCAGGGGAACGCGCCCAUGGUCUCUAUAGUAACCAUUGACUACCUACAUAAGACCUUGCAUUCUGAGAUACUGGCUGAAUAGUGGUUGUGGGCAUGGAGAUGGUCAGAGCUAAUGGGCUGAUUGUGGGCUUAAGCUUUUUCAAAUAAAUCUUAACAUUACCUUUAAAAAAAAGGUGCAUGCAGAAAUAUCCUUUCCUGUUUGACUGAAAGAGCACAGAAAGCCCCUGGGAGAACAGUCAGGUUUAAUCCUCCCAUGUGGAGGACGCAGAGCUGGUGGCAUACAGGAUACACCCCAUUCUCACAGGUGAUUGGAACACAAACCCUGCAGCCUUGAAUGAAGCAUAUUACAGGACACUCAAAUCAGUUUAUUACUCACAGGUGAUCGGAAGGUCCCACAGAUAAUCUUUGUCCCCCUAAACUACCGCAGUGUUCUCAGAACUGAUACCUUUAUCUGCCAACACAAUAUAUGGGAAUAGGGGUUGGACCAGGCUAAUGACACUCACUCAACACCAGCAAAGCAGGUACAGCAGAAUCUGUUGACAAAUAUUUAUCCCCCCCCCCGACAAAAACUGGACAAUGGAGACGGCUAAGGUUUGUACAACCCUGUAGAAAUAUUUAAUUGCAUCAGACAGUAAGAUUUGGUCACAGUCAGGUAGCGGUGUGGAUAGUGUCAAGUACUCUAGUAGAUUAACUGUUAAAGUGCAUUUCAGACAUUUGGAUUUCGUAAAGGUCCUUGCUAGUCAGCAUCUGUGGGACAUCCCAUGGAUCCCAGAUAACCAUUUCAUAAAGCAGAGCACCAGACCUGGAGCCAUCUUGGAGGAAGACAGACUGCAGACAUAAGAAAGCCCAUCUCAUGGAUCCAUACCACAAUUAAGGCUACAAAGCUAAAUGAUUUCACCUCUAGAGCUAACACGUGGAAUUACUGCACGCUUUUGGUUCUGCAUGAAGGACAGAAACAGAGCAAUGCAUCUCUACUAAAACACCAUGCACUUUUGCUAUGAAAUGAAAACAUUUAAAAUACCUUGUGAUGCUCACAUUUAUACUUGUGAAAAUAGACUAUGCCCCCACCACAUGAUAACUACAGAAUAACAAAGUACUAAGAACUCAAUGAAGUACUACUGAUACAGUAGGAAAGAGAUAAUGGACAUCAACUUGGAAUGGACACUGGCCCAGGCAGACUGAAGAGAAGACACUUCCAGCUGAUCUUGAUAAUUGCAACAUUGCAUGGCAACAGUGACUUUAUACACAAGUAUCAAAGGACUAUUAAUGACAAGCAUAAGUGGGGUAGGAGUGCACUUACCAGAGGACUACUGUUAUCACCUUAUCCACCUAGAACCAUAGCAAAUACUGUAGUUACACUUCAGAUCCAUAGCGGGGUAAGAUCCGCUAGCUCCGAAAGUAAAUCGACAUUUACGUAGAACGGCUUUCACCCCAUUGACCGAUUCCCUCUGCCAGCGAAGUAUCUGCCACCGCAUCCCAAAGAGGCAUCCGUACAGAGCGAUUUUAACCUUAACCAAGACAGGCCAUUUAGCAGUACAAAUCAGUUAACAUUAGGUUUAUGAAUAAUAACAAAAGGAUCCACGUGUAAUAUAAACCAAAAGUUUAUUUCUACCAAUUUGCCCAAGACACUAGAGGAAUGAGUUUCCAGUGAGAGAGGGAAGGCCCUCUUACAUUAACAGGCUUGCGCUCGAAUUGUAUUGUUUGUAACACUAGUAGCCACUUUAAAAAUGCAGACAAUAUGGGAGGGGGGAAAGACUCCUUAAAAGCCAAAAAAACAAAUGCUGGUUGUCAUCAUCUACUAGCCAACUGCAAACAUUCACUAGACAAGCUUACAAUGAAACCUUUGAUUAGUUUAAUCCAGUCGCCUCACCCCACAUCUGAAGCCAUGCAACUCGCAUCAAACACUCAGCAUGAAAAAAAAAAAAAACUACAAAUCUAGAAACACCAACAAAAGUUUAUUUGAAAAGCUUACGAAAGCUCUGCUCCUGUUUGUUGGUAAGUCCAGCAGACAUGUAAAAUACGACCAUACAAUACAUUAUUCAAAAAGGUACCAAAAAGUACAGUAAAAAUAACACUUCCAUCUCUGGAAAUGGACACAAAACAAUAUCAAAUAAAAAGUGGAAGUGGCAUUUGCUUCCCCAGUUCCUCACUUCAUCUGUACAUAUGUGGCAUGAGGCCAAAUUUCUGCCAACUCCAAAGGAAAAGCCAGAGCCCAUGUUCGCUGUGGCCGGACCAUGGGUUUCUUUUUUCUUAUUUACUUUAGACCUUAAGAGAGAAACAUGGUGCUUACAGUUACUGAGCAUAUCCAAAUGGCAUUUAGUAUCACAUACAUGGACACCAUGAUGUUUAAGAACUAGUAUCUUUAUUUAAACAUUAAUCACAUUGCUCCAGAGGGGGAGCACAUCAAAGGGGACAUGACACCUAGCUGCCAUACCCAGCACCCAAUCAGAAAGGCCCUAAUGCUUAUGCUGGGGCAACCACCACCUCAACCCUUAUUGAUCAAGUAGUGUUUGUAGGGAUGCAUCUUAAAAUGGUUGGCACAUGGAAUGAGUCCAUUAUUAAAGAUUUCCAGACCCUCACCACCCCCCCUCAUUAACAAACGUUUGAAUGAGAUCAGACUAGAUGGGAGAAAUUUUGGAGUCAAAGGCACAAAUGGUUACAGUUAGAUUGUCAUAUCACCAUAGAUGAUGCAAAAAUGCAUACCUGCACUACAUGUGAUCAGUAUGGCUUGUAGCUACUCUGGUGGCCUCCACGUCUUGGAGUUUUCCCAUAGCCUGCAUUGCCCUGGUCUGGAGGACAAGAAAGAAAAAGACUGAGUGUCUUCCGUACGACAAGGACCAACAAAGUUUCUCACAUUUGUGUUUCGGGUGGUUAUCGCUUACUGUAGUCGUAGCCACCCCCAUAGCCGUAUCCAGCGGAGUAGUCGUAGUUGCCAUAGCCUCCGUAUCCACCAUAGCCUUGCUGUCCACCGUAGCCGUAGCCCUGGUUACCGUAGCCUUGGUUCCAGUAGUUGUUGUAUCCACCACCACCACCUUGGUUCCAGUUCUGGCCCUGACCUGAGAACAAAUCAAUACAGGGACUAGAUGCAGUCUUAAAACCCAAACUUCUUAGGACUGUGAAGUACAGUUUGCCCAGGUUAAAUCAGCACCAGAUGUUUGGUGUUAAUACUCACCUCCACGACCCCUGCCCCGUCCCCCACCACCACGGCCACCAUACUGCUGCUGCUGGUACACCUCUUUGGGCUGGGCUAUUUUAAUCUCACACUGGAACAUACCGUAACAUGAAAACUUAAGUCAGCCACAGAAAAAAACAUUUGCAACACCCACUGCAUGGAUUUACAAUGUGAGGGUUACAUGUUCCCUGAGGAAACUACUAGAAAAACAACAUUUACACGAAUCAAAGGCUCCAUUUGAAAGUGGGUGGGCAACAUUGUACGUCCUUAAUCACAUAUGUACAAAAAGGGACAGUGCACACGGCCUUGCAGUGCAUUUGACAGAUCCAUUCUCACCUUGCUUCCACUGACGUUAUGGAAUUUCUUUUCUAGCACUUUUUUGACAGGAGUUUCAUCCUUAUACGUAAUGAACACGAAGCCCCUUCUCUUUUCUGUUUUUGGAUCCUGUGGAAGCUCAAUCGUCUCAAUCUGCAUGUGAAGGGAAGCUUAAACAAUUACUGUUAACACAGCACCAAAACCACCAAGUCAGUACUACCACACAACCAAAAUCAACAGAAAUGUGGAUACUAUACCUCUCCAAAAGUUCUGAAGUACUCCUGGAUAACUUCCUUUUCCGUAUCUGGGUUGAGGCCACCUACAAAGAUUUUCUUUACAGGCUCCUUCUUCAUGGCCAUGGCCUUCUUGGGGUCAAUCUGUCGCCCAUCUAGUCGGUGUUCCUUCUGCUCGAGAACCUUGAAAAGAGGAAGAAUAACUAGGAGAAUGAAGGGCAAAUAGUUGCAUAACCACAGGGAUGUUGCAGUGCUGUAAAACGUCACAUGGAAACACAUUGGCAUGAAAUAUGCAGCCCAUAAGUGACAGAAAUGUAAUUUCUUACCUUGUCUACACCAGCUGCCUCUUUGAAGAGAAUAAAGCCGAAGCCUCUUGACCUGCCUGUCUGCUGGUCCAUCUUUAUGGUGCAGUCUGUCACCUCACCGAAUUUAGAGAAAUAAUCUUUAAGAUCUUUCUUACUUGUGUCCCAGCUAAGUCCGCCAACAAACAUUUUCCUAGCAAAGAACAAAUGAACACAUUAAAUAUGGCAAUUGAUUAACACAAGUGCGCUAAGUGUUACGGAACAUUAUUUCUGCUGUAGGAAGGCUGGGCCUACUACAGCAUGUCCAAAGCCAUGCACGCCCAACAAUUUUAAUCAGAAAAAAACCCAAUGUGCUAUAAUUAACAGAUGGUGUAUCUUUUCACUGUACGCGAUUGUUUAAACGGGCGAGGGAGUGUUAUUUUUACGCUGAAUUCGCCCAUCCCAUAGAGACUAAAGGCCCAUCCCCCCUUAGCACUGCACAUGGCGCCAACAAAGCCAGACGUAACAAAGGAGCGAUGCAAUCCAUUAAGUGCUCUGUCGAGAUCGAAUACAAUAUUUCGAAUUCAUUUCUACACUCACCCCGCGUCCUCCUCGCCUUUGCUGGCGUUGAUCUGUCCGCCUUCCCCCUCCGAGGCACCAUUUUGUGAAUCUUCUCCCUCCCCUUUGCCUUCUCCCUCUAAUGCAGUUUUAUCUUCUACGCAGGCUUCGGUCUCUGCCUCGCCUUCAUUCGGGGCUUCGGUCUCAUCAGCGGGCUCGGCUCCGUUAAAAUCCUCCUCGCCUUCAUGGCCGUUCUCGGAUGUUUCCAUAAACUGUUGCUCGGUGUCUGACAUGUUGUAUUAGGAUCCCUUGUC
This is a long non-coding RNA of Oncorhynchus nerka (sockeye salmon), 6694 nucleotides long. RefSeq lists it as uncharacterized. NCBI's taxonomy places the organism in Eukaryota, Metazoa, Chordata, Actinopteri, Salmoniformes, Salmonidae. The record is from RefSeq and is a predicted model, not a curated record. The transcript has 5 exons.